This 1342-nucleotide ribosomal RNA is filed under the name metagenome. RNAcentral's name for it is "bacterial SSU rRNA". It matches the Rfam family "Bacterial small subunit ribosomal RNA". The record is from RNAcentral.
GAUCGUACGUACCCCAAGGUGGGGGAUAGCCUGUGGAAACGCAGUGUAAUACCCCAUGUGCUCUACGGAGGAAAGCUUCGGCGCCUCGGGAGCGGCGAUCGACCUAUCAGGUUGUUGGUGAGGUAAUGGCUCACCAAGCCUCAGACGGGUAGCGGGCGUGAGAGCGUGACCCGCCGCAUCGGGACUGAGACACUGCCCGGACUCCUACGGGAGGCUGCAGCGACGAGUAUUCCGCAAUGGGCGAAAGCCUGACGGAGCAAUGCCGCGUGUGGGGUGAAGCGUCUUCGACGUGUAAACCCCUGUCAGGUCCUAGGAACAAUGACCGGGACCAGAGGAAGGACCGGCUAAUUCCGUGCCAGCAGCCGCGGUAACACGGAAGGCCCGAGCGUUACUCGGAAUCACUGGGCUUAAAGAGUGCGUAGGCGGACCGUCAAGCAUCUUGUGAAAGCCCGCGGCUUAACCGCGGAACUGCAGGGUGAACUGACGGUCUUGAGGCGGACAGGGGAAGCCGGAACUGUCGGUGGAGCGGUGAAAUGCGUAGAUAUCGACAGGAACGCCAAUGGAGAAGUCAGGCUUCUGGGUCCGUCCUGACGCUGUAGCACGAAAGCGUGGGGAGCAAACAGGAUUAGAUACCCUGGUAGUCCACGCCGUAAACGAUGUGCACUAGGUCGGGGGGGCUUUCACGCCUUCUCGGCCGAAGUUAAAGCGUUAAGUGCACCGCCUGGGGAGUACGGUCGCAAGGCUAAAACUCAAAGGAAUUGACGGGGGCUCACACAAGCGGUGGAGCAUGUUGCUUAAUUCGAGACAACGCGAAGAACCUUACCUGGGUUUGACAUGCACGGAUUAGCCCGGUGAAAGUCGGGUGACACUCUUGAGUGGAACGUGCACAGGUGCUGCAUGGCUGUCGUCAGCUCGUGCUGUGAAGUGUCGGGUUAAGUCCCUUAACGAGCGCAACCCCUAUCGUUAGUUACUAACGCGUUAUGGCGAGGACUCUAACGAGACUGCCGGUGUCAAACCGGAGGAAGGUGGGGAUGACGUCAAGUCCUCAUGGCCUUUAUGCCCAGGGAUGCAAACGUGCUACAAUGGUACGGACAGAGCGAAGCAAUACCGCGAGGUGGAGCAAAUCGCAAAAACCGUGCCCCAGUUCGGAUAGCAGGCUGCAAUUCGCCUGCUUGAAGCCGGAAUCGCUAGUAAUCGUGGAUCAGCUACGCCACGGUGAAUACGUUCCUGAGCCUUGUACACACCGCCCGUCACGUCAUGGAAGCUGGAAGCGCCCGAAGUCGCCUCAUCUCAGGGGUGCCCACGGCGAGGCCGGUGACUGGGACGAAGUCGUAACAAGGUA